AUGGGAGCCCACUGGUAUGUGUGUGGAGGGGAGCAGAGACAGAAAGGAAGUAAUAUUGAGUCACAGCAGUCAAGAAAGAUCAAAGAUUGGCUAUUUUUGACACACAAAAGGGACCUUGGGCAUCUUAGACUUGGUCAAUUGAAGCACACCAGAAAGAGAUAUUCCCUCCCUUGUGUGGAUGUCUUUGCAUGGCACCUUCAGAGCACUGACACUUAUCCAGCUCACUUUUGGCCAUGUCUCUGUGCUCUGAGCCCAGCUCAUUCUAUCUACACUUUCCAUAUAUUCAGGAGCAAAUUAUGAACACGGCUUGUGAAUAAUUUGAUUGCCGGCGUGAGAAAUGCACACGCUGCUGAUCCUGAGAAAUGGAGCUGUCGUUUACUGAUUUAAUGAGUAAAUAACGACUUAUUCUGAAAUACUGUAGGGAUAUUAUGCCAGUGGUUCUCUUUGGGUCUUUAUACACAUUUUAACUCCAGUCAGUUUUUUGUUGUGUGUGUGUGUGGUUUUUUAAAAAUCUGAAGUUUAUUUUUGCAGUGGUGCUUGGAAAGCUGUAAAUGAUCCACAAGGAAUUAACAGACAAAAGUCUCUGGCUCUGCUCCACCCUAUUGAAGUUGAUGGCAAAACUCCCAUUGAAUUCAGUGGAAGUAACAACUAGGUCUUGUGAGAGUAAACAAUAAAUCAGUUUUAUAAUCACA
Molecule: long non-coding RNA, 692 nt
Filed under: Cyanistes caeruleus (blue tit)
Lineage: Eukaryota; Metazoa; Chordata; Aves; Passeriformes; Paridae
Description: lncRNA (ENSCCEG00000009103.1)
Source: RNAcentral